Non-coding RNA from Trichonephila inaurata madagascariensis, 71 nucleotides. The record is from the annotation of a GenBank genome assembly. Lineage: Eukaryota; Metazoa; Arthropoda; Arachnida; Araneae; Nephilidae.
UGUAGCACAAUGGAUAACGCGUUGGACUUCUAAUUCAAAAAGGUCGUGGGUCCGAAAUCCCACCUGGAAAG